CUGCUUCAUGUUUGGCUGGUUGGUGAAUAUUACAUUAUACCAUGGAGGAUAAUGUCUCCAGGGACAGUGCUUCAUGGACUGACUUUGAACACAAGCAUGUAUGGAUAUAAACAUAUGGACGCCUCACGCCAGCCUCCACCUUCCUUCCCUCUUCCAAGAUGUUGUGUUGUCUCCGUCAUUAAACAGGAUGUUGGACCCAGAAUUCGAGGCGAGACGGACAGCGGGAAAAUUCAAAGGUGUUUAUUAAAACAAUAACUGAAGCGGCUGUGCACCAUCCAUCACUGGAUACUGCAGUGGAGAAAAACACAGGCUCACCUGAGGUAGGCGUGUCCACCUGCAGGAUGUCGCCUGUCUGUCUCUAUAUAUGCUGAUGACUGGAUGAUUGCAGAGGACAGCUGCUUUCACACCAGAGGAGGAAACACUGCGUUCUAAGGAUAAGCCUGAGGAGAGCAGUCUGUUUCCAGACAACAGAAAUAUGACGACAUCCAGCAGCAUCAUAACAGAUGAGCUGCUACAGCAGCAGCAUUAAUAGUAACUGGAGAUGCUGGGAAUGAGAUCAAACUCUGCUGCAGGAAGAAGAACAGAAAUACUGGAU
Molecule: long non-coding RNA, 595 nt
Organism: Cyprinodon tularosa
Lineage: Eukaryota; Metazoa; Chordata; Actinopteri; Cyprinodontiformes; Cyprinodontidae
Exons: 3
Source: RefSeq, a predicted model, not a curated record